This 497-nucleotide ribosomal RNA is filed under the name uncultured bacterium. RNAcentral's name for it is "partial 16S ribosomal RNA". It matches the Rfam family "Bacterial small subunit ribosomal RNA", at positions 28 to 507 of the family's 1533-position model. The record is from RNAcentral.
GAUGAACGCUGGCGGCGUGCCUAAUACAUGCAAGUCGAGCGACCAGACGAGGAGCUUGCUCCUCUGACGUUAGCGGCGGACGGGUGAGUAACACGUGGAUAACCUACCUAUAAGACUGGGAUAACUUCGGGAAACCGGAGCUAAUACCGGAUAAUAUAUUGAACCGCAUGGUUCAAUAGUGAAAGACGGUUUUGCUGUCCCUUAUAGAUGGAUCCGCACCGCAUUAGCUAGUUGGUAAGGUAACGGCUUACCAAGGCAACGAUGCGUAGCCGACCUGAGAGGGUGAUCGGCCACACUGGAACUGGGACAACGUCCAGACUCCUACGGGAGGCAGCAGUAGGGAAUCUUCAGAAAUGGGCGCAAGCCUGAAGGAGGAACGCCGCGUGCGUGAGGAAGGUCUCCGGAUCGUAACACUCUGUUAUUAGGGAAGAACCAAUGUGUAAGUAAAUAUGCACGUCUUGACGGUACCUAAUCAGAAAGCCACGGCUAACUACGUG